Molecule: ribosomal RNA, 546 nt
Filed under: Alternaria alternata
Lineage: Eukaryota; Fungi; Ascomycota; Dothideomycetes; Pleosporales; Pleosporaceae
Description: eukaryotic LSU rRNA
Rfam family: 5.8S ribosomal RNA (bases 170-323)
Source: RNAcentral
CCGGUGGCUCUCUUUGAGGCGGGCUGGACCUCUCGGGGUUACAGCCUUGCUGAAUUAUUCACCCUUGUCUUUUGCGUACUUCUUGUUUCCUUGGUGGGUUCGCCCACCACUAGGACAAACAUAAACCUUUUGUAAUUGCAAUCAGCGUCAGUAACAAAUUAAUAAUUACAACUUUCAACAACGGAUCUCUUGGUUCUGGCAUCGAUGAAGAACGCAGCGAAAUGCGAUAAGUAGUGUGAAUUGCAGAAUUCAGUGAAUCAUCGAAUCUUUGAACGCACAUUGCGCCCUUUGGUAUUCCAAAGGGCAUGCCUGUUCGAGCGUCAUUUGUACCCUCAAGCUUUGCUUGGUGUUGGGCGUCUUGUCUCUAGCUUUGCUGGAGACUCGCCUUAAAGUAAUUGGCAGCCGGCCUACUGGUUUCGGAGCGCAGCACAAGUCGCACUCUCUAUCAGCAAAGGUCUAGCAUCCAUUAAGCCUUUUUUUCAACUUUUGACCUCGGAUCAGGUAGGGAUACCCGCUGAACUUAAGCAUAUCAAUAAGCCGGAGGAA